GGUUAAGCGACUAAGCGUACACGGUGGAUGCCCUGGCAGUCAGAGGCGAUGAAGGACGUGCUAAUCUGCGAUAAGCGUCGGUAAGGUGAUAUGAACCGUUAUAACCGGCGAUUUCCGAAUGGGGAAACCCAGUGUGUUUCGACACACUAUCAUUAACUGAAUCCAUAGGUUAAUGAGGCGAACCGGGGGAACUGAAACAUCUAAGUACCCCGAGGAAAAGAAAUCAACCGAGAUUCCCCCAGUAGCGGCGAGCGAACGGGGAGCAGCCCAGAGCCUGAAUCAGUAUGUGUGUUAGUGGAAGCGUCUGGAAAGGCGCGCGAUACAGGGUGACAGCCCCGUACACAAAAAUGCACAUAUUGUGAGCUCGAUGAGUAGGGCGGGACACGUGGUAUCCUGUCUGAAUAUGGGGGGACCAUCCUCCAAGGCUAAAUACUCCUGACUGACCGAUAGUGAACCAGUACCGUGAGGGAAAGGCGAAAAGAACCCCGGCGAGGGGAGUGAAAAAGAACCUGAAACCGUGUACGUACAAGCAGUGGGAGCACGCUUAGGCGUGUGACUGCGUACCUUUUGUAUAAUGGGUCAGCGACUUAUAUUCUGUAGCAAGGUUAACCGAAUAGGGGAGCCGAAGGGAAACCGAGUCUUAACUGGGCGUUAAGUUGCAGGGUAUAGACCCGAAACCCGGUGAUCUAGCCAUGGGCAGGUUGAAGGUUGGGUAACACUAACUGGAGGACCGAACCGACUAAUGUUGAAAAAUUAGCGGAUGACUUGUGGCUGGGGGUGAAAGGCCAAUCAAACCGGGAGAUAGCUGGUUCUCCCCGAAAGCUAUUUAGGUAGCGCCUCGUGAAUUCAUCUCCGGGGGUAGAGCACUGUUUCGGCAAGGGGGUCAUCCCGACUUACCAACCCGAUGCAAACUGCGAAUACCGGAGAAUGUUAUCACGGGAGACACACGGCGGGUGCUAACGUCCGUCGUGAAGAGGGAAACAACCCAGACCGCCAGCUAAGGUCCCAAAGUCAUGGUUAAGUGGGAAACGAUGUGGGAAGGCCCAGACAGCCAGGAUGUUGGCUUAGAAGCAGCCAUCAUUUAAAGAAAGCGUAAUAGCUCACUGGUCGAGUCGGCCUGCGCGGAAGAUGUAACGGGGCUAAACCAUGCACCGAAGCUGCGGCAGCGACACUAUGUGUUGUUGGGUAGGGGAGCGUUCUGUAAGCCUGUGAAGGUGUGCUGUGAGGCAUGCUGGAGGUAUCAGAAGUGCGAAUGCUGACAUAAGUAACGAUAAAGCGGGUGAAAAGCCCGCUCGCCGGAAGACCAAGGGUUCCUGUCCAACGUUAAUCGGGGCAGGGUGAGUCGACCCCUAAGGCGAGGCCGAAAGGCGUAGUCGAUGGGAAACAGGUUAAUAUUCCUGUACUUGGUGUUACUGCGAAGGGGGGACGGAGAAGGCUAUGUUGGCCGGGCGACGGUUGUCCCGGUUUAAGCGUGUAGGCUGGUUUUCCAGGCAAAUCCGGAAAAUCAAGGCUGAGGCGUGAUGACGAGGCACUACGGUGCUGAAGCAACAAAUGCCCUGCUUCCAGGAAAAGCCUCUAAGCAUCAGGUAACAUCAAAUCGUACCCCAAACCGACACAGGUGGUCAGGUAGAGAAUACCAAGGCGCUUGAGAGAACUCGGGUGAAGGAACUAGGCAAAAUGGUGCCGUAACUUCGGGAGAAGGCACGCUGAUAUGUAGGUGAAGUCCCUCGCGGAUGGAGCUGAAAUCAGUCGAAGAUACCAGCUGGCUGCAACUGUUUAUUAAAAACACAGCACUGUGCAAACACGAAAGUGGACGUAUACGGUGUGACGCCUGCCCGGUGCCGGAAGGUUAAUUGAUGGGGUUAGCCGCAAGGCGAAGCUCUUGAUCGAAGCCCCGGUAAACGGCGGCCGUAACUAUAACGGUCCUAAGGUAGCGAAAUUCCUUGUCGGGUAAGUUCCGACCUGCACGAAUGGCGUAAUGAUGGCCAGGCUGUCUCCACCCGAGACUCAGUGAAAUUGAACUCGCUGUGAAGAUGCAGUGUACCCGCGGCAAGACGGAAAGACCCCGUGAACCUUUACUAUAGCUUGACACUGAACAUUGAGCCUUGAUGUGUAGGAUAGGUGGGAGGCUUUGAAGUGUGGACGCCAGUCUGCAUGGAGCCGACCUUGAAAUACCACCCUUUAAUGUUUGAUGUUCUAACGUUGACCCGUAAUCCGGGUUGCGGACAGUGUCUGGUGGGUAGUUUGACUGGGGCGGUCUCCUCCUAAAGAGUAACGGAGGAGCACGAAGGUUGGCUAAUCCUGGUCGGACAUCAGGAGGUUAGUGCAAUGGCAUAAGCCAGCUUGACUGCGAGCGUGACGGCGCGAGCAGGUGCGAAAGCAGGUCAUAGUGAUCCGGUGGUUCUGAAUGGAAGGGCCAUCGCUCAACGGAUAAAAGGUACUCCGGGGAUAACAGGCUGAUACCGCCCAAGAGUUCAUAUCGACGGCGGUGUUUGGCACCUCGAUGUCGGCUCAUCACAUCCUGGGGCUGAAGUAGGUCCCAAGGGUAUGGCUGUUCGCCAUUUAAAGUGGUACGCGAGCUGGGUUUAGAACGUCGUGAGACAGUUCGGUCCCUAUCUGCCGUGGGCGCUGGAGAACUGAGGGGGGCUGCUCCUAGUACGAGAGGACCGGAGUGGACGCAUCACUGGUGUUCGGGUUGUCAUGCCAAUGGCACUGCCCGGUAGCUAAAUGCGGAAGAGAUAAGUGCUGAAAGCAUCUAAGCACGAAACUUGCCCCGAGAUGAGUUCUCCCUGACCCUUUAAGGGUCCUGAAGGAACGUUGAAGACGACGACGUUGAUAGGCCGGGUGUGUAAGCGCAGCGAUGCGUUGAGCUAACCGGUACUAAUGAACCGUGAGGCUUAACCUU
RNAcentral lists this ribosomal RNA (2905 nucleotides) under Escherichia coli. RNAcentral's name for it is "23S ribosomal RNA". It matches the Rfam family "Bacterial large subunit ribosomal RNA". The record is from RNAcentral. Lineage: Bacteria; Pseudomonadati; Pseudomonadota; Gammaproteobacteria; Enterobacterales; Enterobacteriaceae.